This 119-nucleotide long non-coding RNA is filed under the name Chinchilla lanigera (long-tailed chinchilla). RNAcentral describes it as "lncRNA (ENSCLAG00000024107.1)". The record is from RNAcentral. Lineage: Eukaryota; Metazoa; Chordata; Mammalia; Rodentia; Chinchillidae.
AAAGAAUUAAGGGGAGCAGCGGUGCUGCCCGAGGGGCCCACUCAGGCAGGGCAGCGGCAAGAGGAGCUCUCCCCUCCGGGAGCCUUGGGGGGUUGCAGAAUCUGCAUUCCACCAAGGAG